AAUGGCAUUUUUUUUUUUUUUUUUGCUGCUUAGAAUAUUUCUGUUCCAUUGGAUUAUCAGAGUUCUUAAAUUAAUGCAACAAGAACUAUUCACAACUGCUAUAGAUUAUUUUUAAAAAUAAAAACACAUUUUUCCACACUGUUUUGACCCAAUGUUUUUCUGUCAUAAUGUUGUAGAGAUAAAGAAGAGCCAGGAAUGUUAGACUUGGUUCUGGCUUAUCCACUGUUGAAGAAUGUCAGUAAACUUCCUUAUUAGAAGAUAUCUUUUGUUGUAAUCCAAUGUGUCAUGUAACAAUGUAAAAAAUACUCAUCCAAGUUGCUCAGUGUUUUUGAAAUAGCCCCCCAGAAUGAUAGCGUGGGCUAGUUUUUUCUGUCCUGUUUGAUCUGAUG
Molecule: non-coding RNA, 389 nt
Organism: Biomphalaria pfeifferi
Lineage: Eukaryota; Metazoa; Mollusca; Gastropoda; Planorbidae
Source: the annotation of a GenBank genome assembly